GACGAACCGAGCGAACGAUGUUCGGAAUCACUGGGCUUAAAGGGCGCGUAGGCGGGUGAUCAAGUCCGGGGUGAAAUCCUCCAGCUCAACUGGAGAACUGCCUCGGAUACUGGUUGCCUCGAGGAAGGUAGGGGUGUGUGGAACGUUCAGUGGAGCGGUGAAAUGCAUUGAUAUUGAACGGAACUCCGGUGGCGAAGGAGACACACUGGACCUUUUCUGACGAUGAGUCGCGAAAGCUAGGGGAGCAAACGGG
This 253-nucleotide ribosomal RNA is filed under the name uncultured bacterium. RNAcentral describes it as "partial 16S ribosomal RNA". It matches the Rfam family "Bacterial small subunit ribosomal RNA", at positions 524 to 776 of the family's 1533-position model. The record is from RNAcentral.